UCGAUUCUUCGGAUGAAGACUUUUGUGACUGAGCGGCGGACGGGUGAGUAACGCGUGGGUAACCUGCCUCAUACAGGGGGAUAACAGUUAGAAAUGGCUGCUAAUACCGCAUAAGACCACAGUACUGCAUGGUACAGUGGUAAAAACUCCGGUGGUAUGAGAUGGACCCGCGUCUGAUUAGGUAGUUGGUGAGGUAACGGCCCACCAAGCCGACGAUCAGUAGCCGACCUGAGAGGGUGACCGGCCACAUUGGGACUGAGACACGGCCCAGACUCCUACGGGAGGCAGCAGUGGGGAAUAUUGCACAAUGGGCGAAAGCCUGAUGCAGCGACGCCGCGUGAAGGAUGAAGUAUUUCGGUAUGUAAACUUCUAUCAGCAGGGAAGAAAAUGACGGUACCUGACUAAGAAGCCCCGGCUAACUACGUGCCAGCAGCCGCGGUAAUACGUAGGGGGCAAGCGUUAUCCGGAUUUACUGGGUGUAAAGGGAGCGUAGACGGCUGUGCAAGUCUGAAGUGAAAGGCAUGGGCUCAACCUGUGGACUGCUUUGGAAACUGUGCAGCUAGAGUGUCGGAGAGGUAAGUGGAAUUCCUAGUGUAGCGGUGAAAUGCGUAGAUAUUAGGAGGAACACCAGUGGCGAAGGCGGCUUACUGGACGAUGACUGACGUUGAGGCUCGAAAGCGUGNGGAGCAAACAGGAUUAGAUACCCUGGUAGUCCGNGCCGU
RNAcentral lists this ribosomal RNA (722 nucleotides) under uncultured bacterium. RNAcentral's name for it is "bacterial SSU rRNA". It matches the Rfam family "Bacterial small subunit ribosomal RNA", at positions 68 to 803 of the family's 1533-position model. The record is from RNAcentral.